Octopus sinensis (East Asian common octopus) is the source of this 85-nucleotide long non-coding RNA. RefSeq lists it as uncharacterized. The transcript is spliced from 3 exons. NCBI's taxonomy places the organism in Eukaryota, Metazoa, Mollusca, Cephalopoda, Octopoda, Octopodidae. The record is from RefSeq and is a predicted model, not a curated record.
UGAGAGGAGGAAACUGAAAGUGAAUGUAGCUAAGAGUAAGGUGAUGAGAUGUUCGAGAGAUGGAAUGGCUGUCUCAUUAAAACAG